This is a long non-coding RNA of Protopterus annectens (West African lungfish), 518 nucleotides long. RefSeq lists it as uncharacterized. The record is from RefSeq and is a predicted model, not a curated record. The transcript is spliced from 4 exons. Lineage: Eukaryota; Metazoa; Chordata; Ceratodontiformes; Protopteridae.
AAGUCCCUCCUUCCGCAGCUUUCCUUCCUUCCACUUACUCUUUCUCUCUUGUCAGCCAUGUUGUUGGUGUGAAACUAUAACAGUUCAAAAUCAGCAUUGCAACAGGUACUGUUGUGAACCUAGGGGGCCAGAAGGUUGGCUAUUGGAUUGUGUACUUGCAUUUUUGUUUUAGAACGCGAAGAAAAACAUAAUUUGCACUGUUGUAUUACAUACGAGGGAGGCAUUUGUGGAUUAAUCCUGUGGUGCCUACUGGAAAAUCGAAAAACAUUAUUGGAGUAUUGAUUAGAAAAAGAUGGCUGAAAGCUAGCAUGCACGCUGAGGACCAGGAUGUCACACUUUCCUACAUCCAUGAAUGGUGGUCCUAAUGUAUGGGCUAUCACUUCAGAGGAGAGGUCCAAACAUGACAAGCAGUUCAACAGCCUAAAACCCAUUGGGGGUUUCAUAACUGGUGAUCAGGCCCGUACUUUCUUCUUACAGUCUGGUCUACCAGCAGCAGUACUUGCUGAAAUAUGGUGAGU